UACAGAGGUCUCAAGCGUUGUUCGGAUUCAUUGGGCGUAAAGGGUGCGUAGGCGGCGCAGUAAGUCGGGUGUGAAAUCUCGGAGCUUAACUCCGAAACUGCAUUCGAUACUGCCGUGCUUGAGGACUGGAGAGGAGACUGGAAUUUACGGUGUAGCGGUGAAAUGCGUAGAUAUCGUAAGGAAGACCAGUGGCGAAGGCGGGUCUCUGGACAGUUCCUGACGCUGAGGCACGAAGGCCAGGGGAGCAAACGGG
This 253-nucleotide ribosomal RNA is filed under the name uncultured bacterium. RNAcentral's name for it is "partial 16S ribosomal RNA". It matches the Rfam family "Bacterial small subunit ribosomal RNA", at positions 524 to 776 of the family's 1533-position model. The record is from RNAcentral.